CUUUGUAUUUUUUCUUGUAUAUCCAAGAAUCACUCAGAUUGGUUUUGUAGAACGGGUAUGCCAUUGUGGUGAAGUUUUGACCGGCCAGAUACUAGGCGCUAACCCAAAAUAGUUCCAGAGAAAUAGUUGUCCUGGCCGGUGUCUGUUUGUAAGGUUCCUGUGCGAACACCAUGCAAGGGAAUCUCCAGCUUACAGGGUCCCAAUGCUCCCCCUGUUCGGUAGUGUAUAUCUCCCAAAUGCCAUUUGUGUAGGUGUUCAGGAACAGGAACGGGCAGCGGUCUAUAGUUUACCGGUGUUCACGUGAGUGCUUGGUCGAAAAGAGUUCCAGGCACUCAACGACUAAGUACUGCUGCCCCUCGUUCAGGAGACAAGAUGGCAGCCAUUCUCUCUGUAACGUGUUCGGUUAUACGACAUGGCGGUCACCCAGGGAAAGCACUCAAUUGUUUUCAAACUUAAGUGGCUGGUGUCAAUGUUCUAAUGGUGCACAGGGGUGGUCCUCGUUUGGGAGACAAAUGGAUUCUGUUCGUAUGAAGUCUCCCGAACCACACAAAAUAACAGGGGAAAAGACAUAGUACUGUAAGGGGGGAGGGAGUACGACCAGCCAGUAAAGGGAAUAAAAGUAGCUGGUAAAUGUCUAUUCUGUCACAGUAAGGUUGUGAUACUAUAAUUCUACUCUGUGUGGGGUAACCCAAGAUGCCCGGAUAUAAAAUGUUGGUGGUGGCAGUAAAGUGUGUACUAGGGUGUUAGUGAAGAAGGCAUUGCAGGGGUUAAUUUGGGGUUGCUGGGACUAGCAACAGGUAACCAGGGGUCUAUUGUCGUUAACCCUUUCACUUCGACACUCUGCCCACUGUCUCGGCUGGGCCAAUGGCACACGUUCGUGACACCAACAAAGCUUCUUUACUUAUCCUUCUUAUAUUGCUAAUCUUAAGCUAUCUCGCUAUCUGCUUUGAGGUUAGCUUUGAAUUUAGAUUCACAUAUACACCUUCUAUCUAGCCUGUUGACAAAUCCUGACAAGUUCACCCUAAAAACAUUGCUUGCAUGCAUCCGCCCCUUUCUUACACAAGACGCUACUAAGGAGUCUGUUCACCCAUUUUGUCAUUGUUUUUGCAUCAACCACUAUUCUAAUACUGUUGCUCUACAGUCCUAAAUAACAGCCUUAUUUUUCUCUCGUCACUUCUAUUACAUCUCAAC
Non-coding RNA from Pelobates cultripes (western spadefoot toad), 1191 nucleotides. The record is from the annotation of a GenBank genome assembly. Lineage: Eukaryota; Metazoa; Chordata; Amphibia; Anura; Pelobatidae.